Molecule: transfer RNA, 81 nt
Filed under: Paragonimus westermani
Lineage: Eukaryota; Metazoa; Platyhelminthes; Trematoda; Plagiorchiida; Troglotrematidae
Description: tRNA-Arg
Rfam family: tRNA
About the family: Transfer RNA (tRNA) molecules are approximately 80 nucleotides in length. Their secondary structure includes four short double-helical elements and three loops (D, anti-codon, and T loops).
Source: RNAcentral
GGCUUCGUAGCUCAGCUGCUAGAGUGUUUCCUGCGUUGAGGUGUGCUGUUUCUGUCGCUGGUUCGAAUCCAGCCGAAGCCC